Mytilus trossulus (common blue mussel) is the source of this 628-nucleotide RNA transcript. RefSeq lists it as uncharacterized. The transcript has 2 exons. The record is from RefSeq and is a predicted model, not a curated record. NCBI's taxonomy places the organism in Eukaryota, Metazoa, Mollusca, Bivalvia, Mytilida, Mytilidae.
CUGACAAUAUUGUCAGGAUCUGGAAUACGAGAUACAAAGUUUAAGACAUUAUUCAUUUCACGCAUCCUGUUUUGUUUACAAUAUAAAUAAACCACGACUUUUGCAAGUUAAUAUUCUUUAUUUUGUGAAAGAAAUAUGUUGAUAAACAUUAUCUCUUUUGGGUUUAUUGUGGCGGUGGCGUCAGCGCAAACUAUCAUCUAUGACAUUAAUACUCAGGCAAAUUGUACGUUGGUACAACGAGGUCCUACUGAAGACUGCAGAUGGGUAGCGGGGUUAGAUAUGGCCGACCAAGUCAUUGAAAAUGGAAGAAUUAUUGCAUAUAAAAUAUUUUGGUUUGGUGGAGGAUCGUCGGGAUGGUACGUUCCUGGAUUGAACGACUUGGACACUGUUUAUAAUCCUACAGGAAUUGUUAACUGUGGACUACCAUACCGCAACAAGACAAUGCGCAGAAGAUGGGCAAUGUUUAAUGACCAUAAACAUGAAUUUAUAAUUUGUAAACCACGUGAUAUCGAGUUAUAACAAAGGCGAAAACGUGGAACUGUUUAGUCUAUAUAUUAGUUUAAAUAAGAGUAUAUUUUUGAUCACAUAUAUAGAACGCAGAAAUAAAAACGAAGAAUACAUAUCGAUA